UACGUAGGGUCCAAGCGUUGUCCGGAUUUAUUGGGCGUAAAGAGCUCGUAGGCGGCUCGGUAAGUCGGAUGUGAAAACUCGGGGCUCAACCCCGAGACGCCAUCCGAUACUGCUGUGGCUUGAGUCUGGUAGGGGAGAACGGAAUUCCUGGUGUAGCGGUGAAAUGCGCAGAUAUCAGGAGGAACACCGGUGGCGAAGGCGGUUCUCUGGGCCGAUACUGACGCUGAGGAGCGAAAGCGUGGGGAGCGAACAGG
RNAcentral lists this ribosomal RNA (254 nucleotides) under uncultured bacterium. RNAcentral describes it as "partial 16S ribosomal RNA". It matches the Rfam family "Bacterial small subunit ribosomal RNA", at positions 524 to 776 of the family's 1533-position model. The record is from RNAcentral.